Molecule: ribosomal RNA, 301 nt
Filed under: uncultured bacterium
Lineage: Bacteria
Description: partial 16S ribosomal RNA
Rfam family: Bacterial small subunit ribosomal RNA
Source: RNAcentral
CAGCCGCCGCGGGAAUACGAAGGGGGCUAGCGUUGUUCGGAAUUACUGGGCGUAAAGCGCACGUAGGCGGAUCGAUUAGUCAGGGGUGAAAUCCCAGGGCUCAACCCUGGAACUGCCUUUGAUACUGUCGAUCUGGAGUAUGGAAGAGGUGAGUGGAAUUCCGAGUGUAGAGGUGAAAUUCGUAGAUAUUCGGAGGAACACCAGUGGCGAAGGCGGCUCACUGGUCCAUUACUGACGCUGAGGUGCGAAAGCGUGGGGAGCAAACAGGAUUAGAUACCCCAGUAGUCCCUGUCUCUUAUAC